GAAUAACACACAUUUUUGUCUUUGUCAUUAACCUUGUGUCUCCCUGUUCCUGUCUCAAACCUGAUUCUUUCUUCUUAUCUCCUUCCUGUGUCCAGCUCCAGACUCCCACCACCACCCAGGACCAACUCCUGCCCCUGAAUCUUCUGAUGGGCCCCACAAGGUACUUGGAGGAAGACUACUGACCUGGGUCAUCUCUAAUUUCCUGCCUUGCCGGCCAUGCAGCCCUGCUGACCACAUCCUCUCUCACGUUACUUACAUACUUCCUCACCAGACACCACCAAGAGUUCUCAGCCCCCAAAACCUGUCACCGAUCCUCACCAGGCUGUCUGCUCUACCCUCUCCCCCCACUCAAGGGCUCCUGUCCCCACCUCCCUGCAACACUGCUCCUAGAACCAUGUCUCUCUACCUGGAGACAGCCAGGCCUGUUCCCUUCUGGGUCUCCAGUGUCCCUUUUUCCCACAGGUGACAGUGCUGGCUACAAUGCUGUCCAGCCGGUGGUGGCCAAGUUCCUGGGGGAGCCUAGGACUGGGCCCCCGAAGCCCUUCUCGGGGAUCCCAGCUCUGUGCCCUCUAUGCCUUUACUUAUACUGGGGCAGAUGGCCGGCAAGUGUCUCUGGCUGAAGGGGACAGGUUUCUACUGCUUCGAAAGACCAACUCUGACUGGUGGUUGGCAAGACGCCUAGAAGCUCCCUCCACCUCUCGACCCAUCUUUGUCCCAGCGGCCUAUAUGACAGAGGAAUCCAUGCCUUCCCAGAGUCCAACUACCGCCAUCCCCAGCCAAUUGCUCUGGACUCCUGGGCCGAAGUUGUUUCAUGGUUCCCUGGAGGAGUUGUCUCAGGCCCUCCCAAGCAGGGCUCAGGCUAGUUUGGAGCAGCCUCCUCCACUUCCCCCCAAAAUGUGUAGGAGCGUCAGCAUUGACAGUCUGAGGCCCUGCCUUCUGAAGCCUUUCCAGGAAGGACCAAGUGGAAGAUGCCUCUCCCGGGAAGACUUGCCGUCAGAAGCCAGUGCCAGCACAGCAGGCCCCCAGCCCCUCAUGUCAGAGCCCCCUGUGUACUGUAACCUGGUGGACCUUCGCCGCUGUCCCCGGUCCCCACCCCCAGGCCCUGCAUGCCCCCCGCUGCAGAGGCUGGAUGCCUGGGAGCAGUACCUGGACCCCAACUCCGGACGCUGCUUCUACAUCAAUUCACUGACUGGCUGCAAGUCCUGGAAGCCCCCGCGCCGCAGUCGCGGCGAGAUGAACCCUGGCUCCAUGGAGGGGACACAGACCCUGAAGAGGAACAAUGAUGUCCUGCAACGUCAGGCAAAAGGCUUCGGAUCUGACACAGGGACCCCAGAACCGCUUGACCCACAGGGUUCACUCAGCCUCAGCCAACGCACCUCGAAGCUUGAUCCUCCAGCCUUGCAGCCCCCUCGACCUCUGCCGCAGCUCCUGGAAGACCCCCAUGAGGUGGAAAAGUCGGGUCUGCUCAACAUGACCAAGAUUGCCCAAGGGGGGCGCAAGCUCAGGAAGAACUGGGGCCCGUCUUGGGUGGUGUUAACGGGUAACAGCCUAGUGUUCUACCGAGAGCCACCGCCGACAGCGCCCUCCUCUGGUUGGGGGCCAGCGGGUAGCCGGCCCGAAAGCAGCGUGGACCUGCGCGGGGCGGCCCUGGCGCACGGCCGCCACCUGUCCAGCCGCCGCAACGUCCUGCACAUCCGCACGGUCCCUGGCCACGAGUUCCUGCUGCAGUCCGACCACGAGACAGAGCUGCGAGCCUGGCACCGCGCGCUGCGGACUGUCAUCGAGCGGCUGGAUCGGGAGAACCCCCUGGAGCUGCGUCUGUCGGGCUCUGGACCCGCGGAGCUGGCGGAGCUGAGCGCCGGGGAGGACGAAGAAGAGGAGUCGGAGCCGGUGUCCAAACCGCUGCUGCGCCUCAGCAGCCGCCGGAGCUCCAUUCGGGGGCCCGAAGGCACCGAGCAGAACCGCGUGCGCAACAAACUAAAGCGGCUCAUCGCAAAGAGACCGCCCUUACAAAGCCUGCAGGAGCGGGGUCUGCUCCGAGACCAGGUGUUCGGCUGCCAAUUGGAAUCACUCUGCCAGCGGGAAGGAGACACGGUGCCCAGCUUUGUGCGGCUCUGCAUUGCUGCUGUGGAUAAAAGAGGUCUGGAUGUGGAUGGCAUUUAUCGGGUGAGCGGGAACUUGGCAGUGGUCCAGAAACUUCGAUUUCUGGUGGACAGAGAGCGUGCAGUCACCUCCGAUGGGAGAAGGUCGGUUAGAUUUGGACAGUACUGAGUGGGAUGACAUUCAUGUGGUCACCGGAGCCCUGAAGCUUUUUCUCCGGGAGCUGCCCCAGCCUCUGGUGCCACCACUGCUGCUGCCCCAUUUCCGCGCUGCCCUUGCACUCUCCGAAUCAGAGCAGUGCCUCUCUCAGAUACAAGAAUUAAUAGGCUCAAUGCCAAAGCCCAACCGUGACACUCUACGGUACCUCCUGGAGCAUUUAUGCAGGGUGAUAGCACACUCAGAUAAGAAUCGCAUGACUCCCCACAACCUGGGAAUUGUGUUUGGACCAACCCUGUUUCGGCCAGAGCAGGAGACAUCUGACCCAGCAGCCCAUGCUCUCUACCCGGGGCAGCUGGUCCAGCUGAUGCUCACCAACUUCACCAGCCUCUUCCCCUGACCCAGGGAAGGAAGAGAAAACCUAUUUCCAGUCAUCUCUGGUGGUGAGAGGCUGGUGUUCUGUUUUGAGGACAUCCCUUUAAAUCUCCCAAAUGACUAUCUCCAUCUUCAUGAGUGUGACUUGAGGGGUUGGGAUGGGUGAGAGAGCUUCUCUAAAGAGGAAAGUGAGUGGAUUAACCCCUGCUUCUCUUCUUAUUCCCUGUUAUCAUUCCUCCCCAACAUAAUAACACAUAAAGUGGCAUGUUUUUGUUUU
Molecule: non-coding RNA, 2908 nt
Organism: Macaca mulatta (Rhesus monkey)
Lineage: Eukaryota; Metazoa; Chordata; Mammalia; Primates; Cercopithecidae
Source: RefSeq, a predicted model, not a curated record